UACGUAGGGGGCAAGCGUUGUCCGGAUUUAUUGGGCGUAAAGAGCGUGUAGGCGGCCAGGUAGGUCUGCUGUGAAAACUCGAGGCUCAACCUCGAGAUGUCGGCGGAAACCGUCUGGCUAGAGUCCGGAAGAGGAGAGUGGAAUUCCUGGUGUAGCGGUGAAAUGCGCAGAUAUCAGGAAGAACACCUAUGGCGAAGGCAGCUCUCUGGGACGGUACUGACGCUGAGACGCGAAAGCGUGGGGAGCGAACAGG
RNAcentral lists this ribosomal RNA (253 nucleotides) under uncultured bacterium. RNAcentral's name for it is "partial 16S ribosomal RNA". It matches the Rfam family "Bacterial small subunit ribosomal RNA", at positions 524 to 776 of the family's 1533-position model. The record is from RNAcentral.